GACGAACGCUGGCGGCGUGCCUAAUACAUGCAAGUUGAGCGAUGAAGAUUGGUGCUUGCACCAAUUUGAAGAGCAGCGAACGGGUGAGUAACGCGUGGGGAAUCUGCCUUUGAGCGGGGGACAACAUUUGGAAACGAAUGCUAAUACCGCAUAACAACUUUAAACAUAAGUUUUAAGUUUGAAAGAUGCAAUUGCAUCACUCAAAGAUGAUCCCGCGUUGUAUUAGCUAGUUGGUGAGGUAAAGGCUCACCAAGGCGAUGAUACAUAGCCGACCUGAGAGGGGGAUCGGCCACAUUGGGACUGAGACACGGCCCAAACUCCUACGGGAGGCAGCAGUAGGGAAUCUUCGGCAAUGGACGAAAGUCUGACCGAGCAACGCCGCGUGAGUGAAGAAGGUUUUCGGAUCGGAAAAAUCUGUUGGUAGAGAAGAACGUUGGUGAGAGUGGAAAGCUCAUCAAGUGACGGUAACUACCCAGAAAGGGACGGCUAACUACGUG
RNAcentral lists this ribosomal RNA (497 nucleotides) under uncultured bacterium. Its description in RNAcentral is "partial 16S ribosomal RNA". It matches the Rfam family "Bacterial small subunit ribosomal RNA", at positions 28 to 507 of the family's 1533-position model. The record is from RNAcentral.